UGCAGCAAAAUGAAAUACUUAUGAUUCCUUAACAUGCUCAAAGAAAAUAUGAAAGUUCUUCUAUUUUGUUUACAAAAUUGAGUUGGAUGAACGUGCACAAAAAAGAAUGGGCUGCAUGCUGCUUCAAAAUCCUCUUAUGAAACAAAGAUUUCGCCGCAUGAUCCAGAGAAUGCAGGCAUGUUUAAUCUACAUAUUGUGUUUUACUAUCUGAUCCAAUAGACAAGGGAACAUAAUUGCUUGAUUAUUGAAAGAAGAGUCAUCUCUCUGAUUGGCAUGAAGAAAACUAAGCAAUAUCGUGAGAUGGUAAGUCGCUAAGAGAAUCUGCUCAAGAUGGUCAUGGUGAGUGAUAAAUCGAUGAAACUAAUUACAUUAUGAAUCGGAAAGCUAUAAGAUUGAUAAAAGAAGGUAUGAUUAGAAAAAUAGGAAACUAAGAAUGUUAUUUGCAAGUUUUUUCUUUAAAUUAUAGUUUGGUUUUGAAAGAACCUCCAAUUACUUUCUUAAUUGGCUAUCAUUGUUUAAUUGAAAAUUGAUUCAAAUUCCGUGAGUGGUGGUCUUAAUUGGCAUAACUUGAUUUCUCACCCUUAUAAUCUUUAGCUAUAGAGGGGUUUCGUUCUUCUUUUCAUCUAUCAAUAGUUUUAUUGAAACUUUGAUUUUUGUUAGUUGUUCAACUUAUGUAACUCACAUAGAUGGUGGGAUAAGGUUUAAUUAUUGUUGAAAUUGAUUUAUGCAUUUAAAGUGGUUCAAAUUGUCUUGGUGAUACCUGCUGCAAUUUUUGGAUAGGUGAGUGGUGUGUUGGAGAAACCUUCCUCAAGCCAUCAAAAUCAGUGGUGUGUUGAAGAAACCUUCCUUAAGCCAUCAAAAUCAUUUUUGAGCUUUAUUAUGCGGUUGAGUCUGAGAUUUAUUCAAACAUAAUUGAAGCGAUGAAAAAGCCAAGGAUAUUAUGGUCUUUUCUACCAACAACUAUGCUGCUUUUAUUUGGAUGUAUAAUAUUUUAGAGGAUAUGCUUGAUUUGAAUCAUAUGGCUUUAUGGUUUUAUUUUGUGUGUUUUGCAUUCAUGACUUUUGUUAUUAUAUAUUCAGAUUUACCAAUGACUAAGAAGUAGGAAAGCUUCACUUCAUCGGUUCUUGGAGAAAAGGAAGAAUAGACUCCAACAUUUUACAGGCUUCUCUGCUACCCUUUUGUUGUUUCUCUAUGAAGUGGAUCAAUUAGAUCAGAUGUGUGUUUCUCUAUUUUUGUAAGACUGAGUCCUAUGCUCAAAAAUAUCUAUACAUAUUUGUGAAUGUUGUGGUGCGUCCUUAUUAGUACCAUAUUUAAGAGUGUAUUUCUGAUUGACCCCAAAAACAAUGUACUUAUAGUUAUUUACACUCAUUAUAUGUGAGUGACUCUAUUUAGUAUUAUUGUUAUAGUAAAUGUCCUCAAUAUCAUUCUUCUGAUAUUAAUUGCUUCAUCAACAUGAGUUUUAUAUUUUCGC
Long non-coding RNA from Trifolium pratense (red clover), 1471 nucleotides. RefSeq lists it as uncharacterized. Lineage: Eukaryota; Viridiplantae; Streptophyta; Magnoliopsida; Fabales; Fabaceae. The transcript is spliced from 7 exons. The record is from RefSeq and is a predicted model, not a curated record.